Molecule: long non-coding RNA, 1437 nt
Filed under: Capra hircus (goat)
Lineage: Eukaryota; Metazoa; Chordata; Mammalia; Artiodactyla; Bovidae
Description: lncRNA (ENSCHIG00010008986.1)
Source: RNAcentral
AAAAUACAGGUAUGUUAUUUUGAGUGUAUCAGACCUUGUUCUGCCUGAUAGGCAAUCAGUGGUUCUAGUCUCAGUGUAGAUUUAUAGAGGGAGAAUUGUCAAGUCCCCAUGACUGACCAGUCCAGGGAGAAAAAAUAGCUCAUCUACAUGGUAGGACUUCAGAUAUUUCAAAUGGGUUGCACAUGCAGCUAGAAUAAACUCUUAAAAUAACUAUAUAUAUAUACAUAUAUAUAUAGUUAUUUGACUUUCCUGNNNNNNNACUUUCCUGUGUAUAUUUCAUCCCUUAUUUCCCAGAGUCAUGUCCAUUUUCCUCUUAAGAAUUAAGAUUAUUUAGAACAGGGGUUAAAAAAAAAAAACAAACAAACCUGAAACAGUGAUCUGAGUUUUUUAAACUUCCAUAUAGACUAUUGGGAGUCCAGGCAAUGAAAGGAUGUGAACACAGAAUUUAUGGAAUUGCUAUGUACUAAAAAGGUAAUAGAGGGACUCAGUUAUGUAGAAACUACAAGGUAGUCGCCGAUCCUGGGAAGAAAGAGGGAAGAGACAUUGGCCAUAACACUUGUAGAAAAAUCAAGAGAAAUAGAAUCGAAGAGAACCAGAAGAAGGGUUUCAUUAGCAAAGGGGGAAAUUCUCAGUACCGUGUGAAAGUUAAGACACUGACUAGAAGCCAGGGCAAUGUGUCCAAAGUCUUCAUUCCCAUUUGAAGAAGUCCCACACUUUACAUGGUAAAGAAGAAACUGUAUCUGACAAUCUUGUCAAUGUGGCCUGUGAGCCUUUCAUUAAUAAUGGCUUGAUUAUAAUAAUGUAACCUACAGGUAAUCUAAUCAUCUGUAGAUUAUCCAAUGGAAGGACACAUUUCUGUUCUAAAAUGUGAGGCUGCUGCUCAGGCUGUCUGAGGCUGUCUGAACAGUUGGAGCAUAGCUUUUUAUAAAGACUUGAGACACUCAAAAUACUCCAAACAUAUAGGGUUGAUCCUUAUUGCUAAAAGGACCAGUGGGAGUAUGCAAGGCAGGGGGUAUAGAGGGGACACCAACACAGGCUUUUGGGUGGGAUCUAUCCCAACUCUGAGCUCAUAUUGAGCAUGUAUUAAUAAGUUUUUUUAAAGUCUCAAGGAAAGGAAAGCUGAGAAUAUCAGCUUUUUGAAGGUGUUGAUUCAUUUAAAUGACAUAAUUUGUGAGUAAGGGCUGUCUAAGUUAUUGGGUUAUUGUAUGUGUGUAUAAAGAAUACAGAAUGCCUAAGAAUUGAUGCCUUCAAACUGUGGUGCUGGAGACUUCUCAGAGUCCCUUGGACAGCAAGGAGAUCANNNNNNNNNNNNNNNNNNNNNNNNNNNNNNNNNNNNNNNNNNNNNNNNNNNNUGCUGAAGCUGAAGCUCUAGUAUUUUGAUUAUCUGAUGUGAAUAGACUACUCAUUGGAAAAUCUCUGAUGCUGGGAAAGAUUGAG